GACGAACGCUGGCGGCGUGCCUAAUACAUGCAAGUUGAGCGCUGAAGGUUGGUACUUGUACCGACUGGAUGAGCAGCGAACGGGUGAGUAACGCGUGGGGAAUCUGCCUUUGAGCGGGGGACAACAUUUGGAAACGAAUGCUAAUACCGCAUAAAAACUUUAAACACAAGUUUUAAGUUUGAAAGAUGCAAUUGCAUCACUCAAAGAUGAUCCCGCGUUGUAUUAGCUAGUUGGUGAGGUAAAGGCUCACCAAGGAGAUGAUACAUAGCCGACCUGAGAGGGUGAUCGGCCACAUUGGGACUGAGACACGGCCCAAACUCCUACGGGAGGCAGCAGUAGGGAAUCUUCGGCAAUGGACGAAAGUCUGACCGAGCAACGCCGCGUGAGUGAAGAAGGUUUUCGGAUCGUAAAACUCUGUUGGUAGAGAAGAACGUUGGUGAGAGUGGAAAGCUCAUCAAGUGACGGUAACUACCCAGAAAGGGACGGCUAACUACGUG
RNAcentral lists this ribosomal RNA (497 nucleotides) under uncultured bacterium. RNAcentral describes it as "partial 16S ribosomal RNA". It matches the Rfam family "Bacterial small subunit ribosomal RNA", at positions 28 to 507 of the family's 1533-position model. The record is from RNAcentral.